UCGAGGAUCUUCGUCAAUGGGCGCAAGCCUGAACGAGCGACGCCGCGUGUGCGAUGAAGGCCUUCGGGUUGUAAAGCACUGUCGAGGGGGAUCAAGGCCCGAAAGGGCUUGAGUGAUCCCUGGAGGAAGCACGGGCUAAGUUCGUGCCAGCAGCCGCGGUAAGACGAACCGUGCGAACGUUGUUCGGAAUCACUGGGCUUAAAGGGCGCGUAGGCGGCUCGCGAGGUCGGGGGUGAAAUCCCAUCGCUUAACGAUGGAAGUGCCUUCGAUACCGGCGGGCUGGAGGAAGGUAGGGGUGCGCGGAACUUCUGGUGGAGCGGUGAAAUGCGUUGAUAUCAGAAGGAACGCCGGCGGCGAAAGCGGCGCACUGGACCUUUUCUGACGCUGAGGCGCGAAAGCCAGGGGAGCAAACGG
RNAcentral lists this ribosomal RNA (414 nucleotides) under uncultured bacterium. RNAcentral describes it as "bacterial SSU rRNA". It matches the Rfam family "Bacterial small subunit ribosomal RNA", at positions 355 to 775 of the family's 1533-position model. The record is from RNAcentral.